RNAcentral lists this ribosomal RNA (636 nucleotides) under uncultured Gammaproteobacteria bacterium. Its description in RNAcentral is "partial 16S ribosomal RNA". It matches the Rfam family "Bacterial small subunit ribosomal RNA", at positions 1 to 609 of the family's 1533-position model. The record is from RNAcentral. Lineage: Bacteria; Pseudomonadati; Pseudomonadota; Gammaproteobacteria.
CCGACGUCGCAUGCUCCCGGCCGCCAUGGCGGCCGCGGGAAUUCGAUUAGAGUUUGAUCAUGGCUCAGAUUGAACGCUGGCGGCAGGCCUAACACAUGCAAGUCGAGCGGUAGAGAGGUGCUUGCACCUCUUGAGAGCGGCGGACGGGUGAGUAAUGCCUAGGAAUCUGCCUGGUAGUGGGGGAUAACGCUCGGAAACGGACGCUAAUACCGCAUACGUCCUACGGGAGAAAGCAGGGGACCUUCGGGCCUUGCGCUAUCAGAUGAGCCUAGGUCGGAUUAGCUAGUUGGUGGGGUAAUGGCUCACCAAGGCGACGAUCCGUAACUGGUCUGAGAGGAUGAUCAGUCACACUGGAACUGAGACACGGUCCAGACUCCUACGGGAGGCAGCAGUGGGGAAUAUUGGACAAUGGGCGAAAGCCUGAUCCAGCCAUGCCGCGUGUGUGAAGAAGGUCUUCGGAUUGUAAAGCACUUUAAGUUGGGAGGAAGGACAUUAACCUAAUACGUUAGUGUUUUGACGUUACCGACAGAAUAAGCACCGGCUAACUCUGUGCCAGCAGCCGCGGUAUACGCAUCACUAGUGAAUUCGCGGCCGCCUGCAGGUCGACCAUAUGGGAGAGCUCCCAACGCGUUGAAU